This 466-nucleotide ribosomal RNA is filed under the name uncultured Klebsiella sp. RNAcentral describes it as "bacterial SSU rRNA". It matches the Rfam family "Bacterial small subunit ribosomal RNA", at positions 338 to 795 of the family's 1533-position model. The record is from RNAcentral. Lineage: Bacteria; Pseudomonadati; Pseudomonadota; Gammaproteobacteria; Enterobacterales; Enterobacteriaceae.
CCUACGGGCGGCAGCAGUGGGGAAUAUUGCACAAUGGGCGCAAGCCUGAUGCAGCCAUGCCGCGUGUGUGAAGAAGGCCUUCGGGUUGUAAAGCACUUUCAGCGGGGAGGAAGGCGGUGAGGUUAAUAACCUCAUCGAUUGACGUUACCCGCAGAAGAAGCACCGGCUAACUCCGUGCCAGCAGCCGCGGUGAAUACGGAGGGUGCAAGCGUUAAUCGGAAUUACUGGGCGUAAAGCGCACGCAGGCGGUCUGUCAAGUCGGAUGUGAAAUCCCCGGGCUCAACCUGGGAACUGCAUUCGAAACUGGCAGGCUAGAGGCUUGUAGAGGGGGGUAGAAUUCCAGGUGUAGCGGUGAAAUGCGUAGAGAUCUGGAGGAAUACCGGUGGCGAAGGCGGCCCCCUGGACAAAGACUGACGCUCAGGUGCGAAAGCGUGGGGAGCAAACAGGAUUAGAUACCCGAGUAGUC